RNAcentral lists this ribosomal RNA (251 nucleotides) under uncultured prokaryote. RNAcentral's name for it is "partial 16S rRNA". It matches the Rfam family "Bacterial small subunit ribosomal RNA", at positions 525 to 775 of the family's 1533-position model. The record is from RNAcentral.
ACGUAGGGCGCAAGCGUUGCUCGGAUUUACUGGGCGUAAAGGGUCCGUAGGCGGGAAUGUAAGUCGGGUGUGAAAUUUCGGAGCUUAACUCAGAAGCUGCGCUCGAUACUGCAGCCCUAGAUUACAAAAGAGUAGAGUUGAAUUCCCUGUGUUGCGCUGGGAUGCGUAGAUAUCGGGAGGAUUAUCGAUGGCGCAGGCAGCUCUCUGGGCUGUAACUGACACUGAGGGACGAAAGCGUGUGAAGCAAACAG